UUUUGAGCAUACGACCGUUUUGCAUUUUUGAUGCCACAGGACAGAUUGGCUCUUGCUGUUUUGAGGGCUGCUUUAUCUCCUGAUCUGAAUGCUUCAUCUCUGGUCUUUAGCAGCCCACGAACCUCUGCUGUCAUCCACGGCUUUUGGUUUGCACGUGUGGUGAUGGUCUUGGUGACUGUCACAUCAUCAAUGCACUUUUUGAUGUAAGCACUCACAGUUUCAGUGUACUCCUGCAGGUCUGUGUGGUUGUUGUAGGUGGCUGCCUCUUUAAACAUGUUCCAGUCUGUGCACUGAAAGCAGUCCUGUAGAGUUGAGGUAGCAUCAUCUGGCCAAACUGUGAUGAGUUUUUGAACUGGUUUGGCGAGUUUCAGAAGUGGUCUGUAUGCUGGAAUUAGCAUAACAGAGAUGUGAUCCGAGUACCCUAGAUCCAGAAUUCUUGUAAUU
Molecule: long non-coding RNA, 444 nt
Organism: Sinocyclocheilus anshuiensis
Lineage: Eukaryota; Metazoa; Chordata; Actinopteri; Cypriniformes; Cyprinidae
Exons: 3
Source: RefSeq, a predicted model, not a curated record